This 460-nucleotide ribosomal RNA is filed under the name uncultured bacterium. Its description in RNAcentral is "partial 16S ribosomal RNA". It matches the Rfam family "Bacterial small subunit ribosomal RNA", at positions 338 to 795 of the family's 1533-position model. The record is from RNAcentral.
CCUACGGGAGGCAGCAGUGAGGAAUAUUGGUCAAUGGACGAGAGUCUGAACCAGCCAAGUAGCGUGAAGGAUGACUGCCCUAUGGGUUGUAAACUUCUUUUAUAUGGGAAUAAAACGUUCCACGUGUGGGAUUUUGUAUGUACCAUAUGAAUAAGGAUUGGCUAACUCCGUGCCAGCAGCCGCGGUAAUACGGAGGAUCCGAGCGUUAUCCGGAUUUAUUGGGUUUAAAGGGAGCGUAGGUGGAUUGUUAAGUCAGUUGUGAAAGUUUGCGGCUCAACCGUAAAAUUGAAGUUGAAACUGGCAGUCUUGAGUACAGUAGAGGUGGGCGGAAUUCGUGGUGUAGCGGUGAAAUGCUUAGAUAUCACGAAGAACUCCGAUUGCGAAGGCAGUUCACUGGACUGCAACUGACACUGAGGCUCGAAAGUGUGGGUAUCAAACAGGAUUAGAUACCCUGGUAGUC